GAUGAACGCUGGCGGCGUGCCUAAUACAUGCAAGUCGAGCGAACGGACGAGAAGCUUGCUUCUCUGAUGUUAGCGGCGGACGGGUGAGUAACACGUGGAUAACCUACCUAUAAGACUGGGAUAACUUCGGGAAACCGGAGCUAAUACCGGAUAAUAUUUUGAACCGCAUGGUUCAAAAGUGAAAGACGGUCUUGCUGUCACUUAUAGAUGGAUCCGCGCUGCAUUAGCUAGUUGGUAAGGUAACGGCUUACCAAGGCAACGAUGCAUAGCCGACCUGAGAGGGUGAUCGGCCACACUGGAACUGAGACACGGUCCAGACUCCUACGGGAGGCAGCAGUAGGGAAUCUUCCGCAAUGGGCGAAAGCCUGACGGAGCAACACCGCGUGAGUGAUGAAGGUCUUCGGAUCGUAAAACUCUGUUAUUAGGGAAGAACAGAUGUGUAAGUAACUGUGCACAUCUUGACGGUACCUAAUCAGAAAGCCACGGCUAACUACGUG
This 497-nucleotide ribosomal RNA is filed under the name uncultured bacterium. RNAcentral describes it as "partial 16S ribosomal RNA". It matches the Rfam family "Bacterial small subunit ribosomal RNA", at positions 28 to 507 of the family's 1533-position model. The record is from RNAcentral.